RNAcentral lists this transfer RNA (80 nucleotides) under Reclinomonas americana. RNAcentral describes it as "tRNA-Leu". It matches the Rfam family "tRNA". Rfam says of the family: Transfer RNA (tRNA) molecules are approximately 80 nucleotides in length. Their secondary structure includes four short double-helical elements and three loops (D, anti-codon, and T loops). Lineage: Eukaryota; Jakobea; Jakobida; Histionidae. The record is from RNAcentral.
ACGGAUGUGGUGUAAUUGGUAGACACGUUAGCCUUAGAAGCUAGUGAGAAAUCGUGUGGGUUCAAGUCCCUCCAUCCGUA